GAUAGGAUGACUCUAAAACUGACGACACAGAAACCCCAAAGGAGCCGAUAGCAAGUACAAGUCAAGAAAACAAAGAUGACGACCUCCCCGUGCCCGAUGACGCUGAGAAAGCGACGCCCACUGGGGCGGUGCAGGCGCUGCCGUCAUGCCAAACGCAGAGCGACAGCGGCGGUGCUGCAGAGGAAGAAGAAACGCUGAUCCACGCAGCAUCAAGCAAACCGGCUGCUGGACACGCUACCAAGUCUCUUUCUUCAGCGUCUUCGUCGAUGGCGUCCUCUGGGUCCUUAACGCUGUCCCCCGGUCGAGCAAAGAUGAGUGUUAGCGGCCCCUCUGGGAGUAAAUCCUCUCCUCCGCUCGCUCCAUCCUCCUCUCCUUCCACUUCUGCCUCCCCGUCUGUUUCCCCUGGCCCGCCCAAGAUCCACCGGGCCCGCAAGACCAUGAGCAAACCUUCUAUCGGGCAGCACACGAGUUUUGGAGAAACUGCUUCAGCAUCCCAGACCCCGUCAGGAUCUCCCCGCCUCAUUUCUGACCCUGAAAGCGCGGUCUUAAAAAAGAGGAAGCUGGGUCAUUUAUCAGACAGCCGGUGUGAAAACAUUCCAGAUCAUUCUCAGACUGAUGAGACGUUGUUUCAUAAGAAGGCAGAAGCUGCUGUGGUGAAAAGCAAAAGGAAGAGCGGAGAUGAAGGAGGAGAACGGAGCCACAGCUCCACUCCAUCGGCUCAAGAUCCUGGAAACUUUCAAAACGGAGUCAAUGCAAACGAGCGAUCGAAUGAAACUGAGGAGCAUUGUUUAGAGACUGAAACGCCGAAAAGCGUCCGGAAUGACGGCGAGGAGUCUUCGUGGUCGCUGUCAGGUCGGGGCAGAAAGAGAAGCUCUGCUGACCUGGCGGAGACGGAGGAAGAAGAACGAGCCGACGAAUACACCGAGGUUCCUUUGGGUGACCUGGACCUCGCAGCUGCUGACAGUCUGACUCUGUCCCCUCCUCCUGAAGGAAGCGACGCCGGCGACACGGAGCGGCUGGAGGAGCUUCCUCUCUGCAGCUGCAGGAUGGAAGCUCCUCGGAUCGACAGCAGCGGCCAGCGCAGCAGCAGACAGUGCAUGGCCACGGAGAGCAUCAACGGAGAGCUGCGGGCGUGCACCAGCUGGACGGUGAAAGGCGAGACCAUGCGACCGUCCAGCCGCGUCUCCCUCAUGGUGCUCUGCGACGUCCAUCGCUCACACAUGGUCAAACACCACUGCUGUCCGGGCUGUGGGUACUUCUGCAUCGCAGGCACGUUUCUGGAGUGCUGUCCCGACCAGCGCAUCGCGCACCGCUUCCACCGCGGCUGCGUGACCGUGCUGAGCAGCGGGCGCAGCCGCGCCAACGGCGGCGGCAUGAUCUUCUGCCCCCACUGCGGGGAGGACGCCUCGGAGGCCCAGGAGAUCACCCUCCCGUCCUCCAGCGCCGCCGCCACCGUCGUCACCAUGUCCGCCUCCUCCACCACCACGCCGUCGCUGCCCCUGCCGCCCCCUCCGGCCCCUCCCUCAACGAGGAAGAAGUUGAGGUUUCACCCUCGACAACUCUAUCCAGCCGCCAAGCAAGGGGAGGGGCAAAGAGUUCUGCUGAUGCUGAUGGAGGGAAUCGAUCCCACGUACCAGCCGGACUCCCAGAAUCGGCGCUCCGCUCUACACGCUGCAGCUCAAAGAGGUUUACUGGAGAUCUGCUACAUGCUGAUACAGGCCGGCGCCAACGUGGACGCCAAGGACAAAGAAAUGAGGACUCCUCUGCUGGAGGCCGUCAUCAACAACCACGUGGAGGUGGCCCGCUACCUGGUCCAGAGCGGAGCCUGCGUCUAUCACGAGGACGACGGAUACACCGGCCUUCACCACGCCGCCAAGCUGGGGAACCUGGAAAUCGUUAACAUGCUUCUGGAGACGGGCCAGGUGGACGUGAACGCACAGGACAACGGGGGCUGGACGCCCAUCAUCUGGGCUGCCGAGCACAAACACGUGGAGGUGAUCAAGGCUCUGCUGAACCGAGGAGCAGACGUCUCCAUCACGGAUAAGGAGAUGAACGUUUGUCUCCACUGGGCGGCGUACGCGGGAAGUGUGGACAUCGCCGAGAUGGUGUUGAACUCCGGCUGCUCGCUCGCCUCCGUCAACGUCCACGGCGACACGCCGCUGCACAUCGCCGCCAGGGAGGGAUACCUGGACUGUGUGACGUUGUUCCUCAGCAGAGGUGCAGACAUCGACAUCAUGAACAAAGAGGGGGACACGCCGCUCAGCCUGGCCCGGGCCGACACCCCCGUGUGGGUGUCGCUCCAGAUCAACAGGAAACUACGCGUUUGGCCGGCUCUCCGUCACGCUUCCCGCCGCGUCUUUAGGGACAUCGCCCAAGGCUACGAGAACGUGCCCAUCCCCUGCGUGAACGGCGUGGACGAGGAGGGCUGCCCGUCCGACUACAAAUACGUUUCGGAGAACUGCGAAACAUCGGCCAUGAACAUCGACCGGAACAUCACGCACCUGCAGCACUGCGGCUGCACGGACGACUGCUCCUCCAGUAACUGCCUCUGUGGGCAGCUCAGCAUCCGGUGCUGGUACGACAAGGACCAGCGGCUGCUGCAGGAGUUCAACAAGAUCGAGCCUCCGCUCAUCUUUGAGUGCAACAUGGCGUGCUCCUGUUACCGCAGCUGCAAGAACAGAGUGGUUCAGGCCGGCAUCAAAGUCCGGCUGCAGCUCUACAGGACGGAGAAGAUGGGCUGGGGGGUCCGAGCUCUGCAGGACAUCCCCCAAGGGAGCUUCAUCUGCGAGUACGUCGGAGAGCUGAUUUCUGACGCCGAGGCCGACGUCCGAGAAGACGACUCCUACCUGUUCGACCUGGAUAACAAGGACGGGGAGGUGUACUGCAUAGACGCCCGUUACUACGGCAACAUCAGCCGCUUCAUCAACCACCUGUGCGACCCGAACCUCAUCCCGGUGCGGGUCUUCAUGCUGCACCAGGACCUGCGCUUCCCGCGCAUCGCCUUCUUCAGCUCGCGGGACAUCCUGAGCGGGCAGGAGCUGGGGUUCGACUACGGCGACCGCUUCUGGGACAUCAAGAGCAAGUACUUCACCUGCCAGUGCGGCUCGGAGAAAUGCAAACACUCGGCCGAGGCCAUCGCCCUGGAGCAGAGUUCAUGUUUGACUCUCUAA
Oryzias javanicus (javanese ricefish) is the source of this 3170-nucleotide long non-coding RNA. Lineage: Eukaryota; Metazoa; Chordata; Actinopteri; Beloniformes; Adrianichthyidae. The record is from Ensembl.